GACGAACGCUGGCGGCGUGCUUAACACAUGCAAGUCGAACGGAAAGGCCUUGUUUUUGUGGUGUGCUCGGGUGGCGAACGGGUGAGUAACACGUGAGUAACCUGCCCUUUCCUUUGGCAUAACGUCAGGAAACUGGGGCUAAUACCGGAUAUGAGCUCCUGCUGCAUGGUGGGGGUUGGAAAGUUUCGGCGGGUGGGGUUGGAGUGGCGGCUUAUCUGCUUGUUGGUGGGGUAGUGGCUUACCAAGGCUUUGACGGGUAGGCGGCCGGAGAGGGGGACCGGCGACACUGGGACGGAGAUACGGCGCAGAAGCCUACGGGAGGAAGGAGUGGGGAGUGGUGCACAAUGGGCGGGAGCCUGAGGGAGCAACGCCGGGUGCGGGAUGACGGCCUUCGGGUGGUAAAGCGCUUGCGACUGUGACGAAGCGGGAGUGACGGUAAUGGGAGAAGAAGCACCGGCUAACUACGUG
Molecule: ribosomal RNA, 468 nt
Filed under: uncultured bacterium
Lineage: Bacteria
Description: partial 16S ribosomal RNA
Rfam family: Bacterial small subunit ribosomal RNA
Source: RNAcentral